Molecule: ribosomal RNA, 1435 nt
Filed under: Clostridium sp. TBC
Lineage: Bacteria; Bacillati; Bacillota; Clostridia; Eubacteriales; Clostridiaceae
Description: partial 16S ribosomal RNA
Rfam family: Bacterial small subunit ribosomal RNA
Source: RNAcentral
CUGGCCGCAUGCUUAACACAUGCAAGUCGAGCGAUGAAGCUUCCUUCGGGAAGUGGAUUAGCGGCGGACGGGUGAGUAACACGUGGGUAACCUGCCUCAAAGUGGGGGAUAGCCUUCCGAAAGGAAGAUUAAUACCGCAUAAUAUGAGAGAAUCGCAUGAUUUUCUUAUCAAAGAUUUAUUGCUUUGAGAUGGACCCGCGGCGCAUUAGCUAGUUGGUAAGGUAACGGCUUACCAAGGCAACGAUGCGUAGCCGACCUGAGAGGGUGAUCGGCCACAUUUGGAACUACGGUCCAAAACUCACCGGAAGCAGCAGUGGGGAAUAUUGCCCAUGGGGGGAAACCCGGGAAACCCUGACGGAGAUGUAAGGUUUUUCCUUCAAAGAGCGCAACCCUUGUUAUUAGUGCUACCAUUAAGUUGAGCACUCUAAGGAGACUGCCUGGUAACCAGGAGGAAGGUGGGGAUGACGUCAAAUCAUCAUGCCCCUUAUGUCCAGGGCUACACACGUGCUACAAUGGUAGGUACAAUAAGACGCAAGACCGUGAGGUGGAGCAAAACUUAUAAAACCUAUCUCAGUUCGGAUUGUAGGCUGCAACUCGCCUACAUGAAGCUGGAGUUGCUAGUAAUCGCGAAUCAGAAUUCGCGUAAUCAACAGCAAAUAGCGGUGAAAUGCGUAGAGAUUAGGAAGAACACCAGUGGCGAAGGCGGCUUUCUGGACUGUAACUGACGCUGAGGCACGAAAGCGUGGGUAGCAAACAGGAUUAGAUACCCAGGUAGUCCACGCCGUAAACGCUGGAUACUAGGUGUAGGCGGUAUCAACUCCCCCUGUGCCGCGGUUAACACAAUAAGUUUCCCGCCUGGCGAGUACGGUCGCAAGAUUAAAACUCAAAGGAAUUGACGGAGGCCCGCACAAGCAGCGGAGCAUGUGGUUUAAUUCGAAGCAACGCGAAGAACCUUACCUGGACUUGACAUCCCUUGCAUAGCCUAGAGAUAGGUGAAGCCCUUCGGGGCAAGGAGACAGGUGGUGCAUGGUUGUCGUCAGCUCGUGUCGUGAGUUGUUAGGUUAAGUCCUGCAACGAGCGCAACCCUUGUUAUUAGUUGCUACCAUUAAGUUGAGCACUCUAAUGAGACUGCCUGGGUAACCAGGAGGAAGGUGGGGAUUGACGUCAAAUCAUCAUGCCUCUUAUGUCCAGCGCUACACACGUGCUACAAUGGUAGGUACAAUAAGAUGCAAGACCGUGAGGUGGAGCAAAACUUAUAAAACCUAUCUCAGUUCGGAUUGUAGGCUGCAACUCGCCUACAUGAAGCUGGAGUUGCUAGUAAUCGCGAAUCAGAAUGUCGCGGUGAAUACGUUCCCGGGCCUUGUACACACCGCCCGUCACACCAUGAGAGCUGGUAACACCCGAAGUCCGUGAGGUAACCGUAAGGAGCCAGCGG